AUACCCGCUGAACUUAAGCAUAUCAAUAAGCGGAGGAAAAGAAACCAACAGGGAUUGCCUCAGUAACGGCGAGUGAAGCGGCAACAGCUCAAAUUUGAAAUCUGGCUCACGCCCGAGUUGUAAUUUGUAGAGGAUGUUUCGGGUGAAGCCGCGGUCCAAGUCCCUUGGAACAGGACGUCAUAGAGGGUGAGAACCCCGUACCUGGCCGCCGGUGCCCCCCGCUGUGAAACUCCUUCGACGAGUCGAGUUGUUUGGGAAUGCAGCUCUAAAUUGGUGGUAAAUUCCAUCUAAAGCUAAAUACCGGCCAGAGACCGAUAGCGCACAAGUAGAGUGAUCGAAAGAUGAAAAGCACUUUGAAAAGAGAGUUAAAAAGUACGUGAAAUUGUUGAAAGGGAAGCGCUUGCGGCCAGACUUGCCUGCAGUUGCUCAGCCCGCCUUUUGGCGGGUGCACUCUUCUGCAGUCAGGCCAGCAUCGGUUUGGGCGGUCGGAUAAAGGCGUUGGGAACGUGGCCUCCCCUCGGGGAGGUGUUAUAGCCCGGCGCGCAAUGCGACCAGCCCGGACCGAGGUUCGCGCUUUGCUAGGAUGCUGGCGUAAUGGCCGUAAGCGGCCCGUCUUG
RNAcentral lists this ribosomal RNA (617 nucleotides) under Magnohelicospora fuscospora. RNAcentral describes it as "eukaryotic LSU rRNA". It matches the Rfam family "Eukaryotic large subunit ribosomal RNA", at positions 21 to 656 of the family's 3401-position model. Lineage: Eukaryota; Fungi; Ascomycota; Dothideomycetes; Venturiales; Venturiaceae. The record is from RNAcentral.